GGGGGGAACGCGGCGCCUCCGCGGAGCGCGGGACGUCUUCCCCGCCGCUUCUUUCGCCAUGUCCGGCUCGGAGCGCCGCCCGCCCCUUUCCUUUGCCCUUCCCCGGGCGCGCGGGUUCCUUUGGGUUUGACCAAAGUCCGGGGAAAUUUGAGGCCAGAGCAGUGUGUGUGGAGUGCCCCCCCCUCCGCCCCAUCUCUUAUGAAUCUUUGUAUGAUUUGGGAUUGGGGGGUGAGCGGUGCGGGGAGAGUAGAGACCUUUCUAGGAGCGUGCAGCUUGGCUAGCUGACUUGAGUGCACCCUGUCAUCCUGUCUGGCAGUAGAUGAUCUGUCCGGGCUUCACAUGGUCCUAAUAGGAUUAUGUGUGGCCUCCGUGAUUUCUUCUGCGGAACCAGGGCCACUGAGGGUCUCCGUGAGGCAGGGUUGAGAUGUAUGUGUGCACAGGCACCUAUGUGCCUAGCUGUGUAAAUGAGAAGGUCUCCUCCGGAUUUUCUAGUGGGUAGGAGAAGCUUCAGAAUGGAAAGGAAUUGGAUUGUGUGGAUGACAGUGAUCCUUUCUCUUCACCCUCCCCCAUGUGUUAUGCAACAGACGGAGGUGGGUGGGUGGGUUGGUUGGGAUGACAGCAGCUGUCCCAGCAGAGUGACUGAGCUCCCCUCCCACUCUGCUCACAAGGGAGGCUGAGGCUGCCACAGGGUAGCCUGAUCAGGAGGAGGCUGAGCCGAAGACUUUGGUUGCCACGGAUCCUCCUCAUCCUCUUAGAACUCCAGAGCUGGAGGGGACCCUGUGGGAUCACGGCGUCCAGCUCUUGUCAUGGCGGCCCAGUGGGUGGGAUGGCACAUUCCUUAGGCACACUUGGAUGCUGGGCCAGGUGCUUCUGAUGAGCAGCCGCUGGCCCAGGACCUCCAGGCCAAUGUGGACCGCGGUGCUCCUCCUGUGCCUGCCCCGUCUGGGCCUUGGAAUGCCCCUCCACGCGCUCCAGUCUCUGUCGCCGGCCAGGAACGAGUCUGCCCAUGGGCCCCAGCCCCCCAGCCCUUCCGGGGCCCUUCCCGUCACACCCACCGUGCUGGCCACCUCCAGCGAAGCCCCCGCCUUGUCCCUCAACCUGGGGCUCAAUUUCAAGAUCAAGGUGCGUAGCCAGGGGAAGAGCCGGCCCGGCGAGGGGACGGCGGGAGCCACCUCCACCCGGCCAGCCGUUCCCACCCAAUCCCAGGCACCCGGCGGCGGUGCCCGCUUCUGGGCGGAGGCCCUGGGGGGCUCGGGCUGGCCAGGCCCUGGCCCCGCUGCGGCUGAUGAGCUUCCCUCAGAGCCCGGGGGGUGGGCCUGGGAUGGUUCCUCAGCCCGCAGCACCCACCUUGACCCCUGGGCGCCUGCCCCCACGCCCCAGCACCCCUUCUCCCUUUGGCCAAGGCGGGCGGAGAAAGGACCGGUGGCGCCGGCGGUGCCCUCCCAGGAGGAGGGGGAGAGCAAGGAGCUGGAGUUCAAGAUCGACAUCGACCUGACGGCGGGGCUGGGCAAUGAGGGGGCCCUGGCACCCAACGGCAGCGGCAGCAGCAGCAGCAGCCCCGGCAGGCAGUACCCGCUGCUCCCGGGCCUCAGGGUGGGCAUCAAGGAGAUCACCAGCAAACUGGGUCUCUUCGGAUCCACGCUGCCGCCUGAGACAUGGGAACCCCCGGAGUGGAACGCCACAGGCAGCUCCUGGCAGGAAGAGGGGGACUCGCACCCGACUCCAGUGUGGGUCUCAGGACCAGGCCUGGAGUCCAUCAGCCUGUCCGCCUCCCCGGGCAGCGAGGGGGCGUUUGUGGCCCUGCCCGGCUGCCUGCCUGGUGACCGCCCGGAGGACUGCGGCUCCCCGCGGCCGGAGCUCGACUCGCCCCCGCUCUCCUCCCUGCUCCUGCCCUCCCUCCCCCUGUUCGUGCCUCUGCAUUCGGACUGGAACACGGCCCAGGCCGACUGGGGCCUGGCCUGGGAGGCCCACAUCUUCGGCGCGGGCGCCCUCUUUGCUCUCCUGGCCCUGCUCCACCUGCUGCUGCUGGGGGCCGGGGGCGCGCGGGCCGGGCUGCUCUUCGGCGAGGCCUGGGGGCAGCUGGAGCGCUUCCCCGACGUGGCCGUCCGGCUGAUGCACGACCUGGCCCUGCCGUGCCUGACCUCCGCCUUCGCCGUGGCCUUCCUCCUCCUCUCCCUCCGCUCGCGGCUCCAGCGGUCGGCGCGCCCCGGCUCCCGGCCGGCGUGCCUGCUGGCCCUGCUGGUCGUCCUGCACUUCUCGGUGGCGGCGGGGGCCGUCUUGGCCGCUGACCUGCUGAGCCUCUUCCCCUUCGUGCUCCUGGCCUCGCGAGGGGUCUUUGCCCUCCUGGCGGCCGGGCUGUCCUCCUCCUUCCUCAUCUUCUCCUGGGUGGCCCUUCGCCGAGGCCCGAGAGUGGCAGCGGGCCGCCCGCACCGCUCUCCCGGCCGCCUGCUUCGGACUGCUCAGCGCCGCCCUGCAGACCUACGCCAUCCUGCACGCCCUGGGCUUCGGCCUCAGCCAGGACCUCUUCGGGCCCUGGCCCUGGUGGGCCCUGCAGCUGGCGUGCCGGCUCUGCGAGGCGGGGAUGGGGCUGCCCUUGGCCUGCCUCGGCCUCUACCCGCUCCUCUGCCCGCCCUGCGGCCACGAGGGCUGGGGCCGGUGCUGCGGGCGGCUCCUCUGCCUCUCCCCGGACCACCGCGCCGCCGGGGCCGCCGUCAAGGCCCAGAUCCUGCCCAACAACCAUUUCCAGCAGUGGGGCUUGUCCCAGCACCAGAAGCUGGUGGUCUGCGACACCAUCACCCGCAGCGAGUCCGACUACCUCCCGCUCUACGCCCUGCCCGCCGGCGACCCCUCGGGCGCCCGAG
Molecule: long non-coding RNA, 2861 nt
Filed under: Pogona vitticeps (central bearded dragon)
Lineage: Eukaryota; Metazoa; Chordata; Lepidosauria; Squamata; Agamidae
Description: lncRNA (ENSPVIG00000001853.1)
Source: RNAcentral